UAAAGCAAGAAAGGGCGUAUGGGGAAUGCCUAGGCACACUCCGGCGAAGAAGGACGCAGCAAACAGCGAAAUGCGACGGUGAGCGGUAAGCACGUGAAGAGCCGUCGAUAUCCGAAUGGGGGAACCCACACGGAGUCAUAUCCGUGUAUCACAUGUCGAAUACAUAGACAUGAUGAGGCGAGACGCAGGGAACUGAAACAUCUAAGUACCUGCAGGAAGAGAAAAUAAGAAUGAUUUUCUGAGUAGCGGCGAGCGAAAGGGAAAGAGCCCAAACCGAUUUGAGGAUCGGGGUAGUAGGAUCAUCGAUAAAUCAAACAGAGGAUCAUAGAGGAAUCACAUGGGAAGGUGAGCGAGAGAGGGUGAGAGCCCCGUACUCGAAAUGAGAGACUGGAGAGAGAUGACACCUGAGUAGGGCGGGACACGAGAAAUCCUGUCUGAAUCAGCCGGGACCAUCCGGCAAGGCUAAAUACGAGAGAGUGACCGAUAGUGAACCAGUACCGUGAGGGAAAGGUGAAAAGAACCCCGGGAGGGGAGUGAAAGAGAACCUGAAACCAUAUGCCUACAAGAAGUCAGAGCCCGUUAAAGGGUGAUGGCGUGCCUUUUGUAGAAUGAACCGGCGAGUUACUGUAUGGAGCGAGGUUAAGCAGGAUAUGCGGAGCCGAAGCGAAAGCGAGUCUUAAGAGGGCGCGAGUUGCAUGCAGUAGACCCGAAACCGGGUGAUCUAGCCAUGACCAGGUUGAAGUUGGGGUAAAACCCGAUGGAGGACCGAACCGACCCCCGUUGAAACGUUGGCGGAUGAGUUGUGGCUAGGGGUGAAAUUCCAAUCGAACCCGGAGAUAGCUGGUUCUCCCCGAAAUAGCUUUAGGGCUAGCGUCGAGAGAAGAGUUGCGUGAAGGUAGAGCACUGAAUAUGUGAUGGCCCCAUCUCGGGGUACUGAGCAUAAUCAAACUGCGAAUGUCACGCCAACAUGCUCGGCAGUCAGACAGCGGGUGAUAAGGUCCGUUGUCAAGAGGGAAACAGCCCAGACCAUCAGCUAAGGUCCCAAAAUGUAUGCUAAGUGGAAAAGGAUGUGGAGAUGUACAGACAACUAGGAGGUUGGCUCAGAAGCAGCCAUCCUUUAAAGAGUGCGUAACAGCUCACUAGUCGAAUGACUCUGCGCCGAUAAUUUACCGGGGCUAAGCAUACUACCGAAGCUAUGGAUCCCAAGGGAUGGUAGGGGAGCGUUCCAUGAACGGAGAAGUACGACCGAAAGGACGUGUGGAGAUCAUGGAAGAGAGAAUGCCGGUGUGAGUAGCGGAACGUGGGUGAGAAUCCCACGCACCGAAAACCCAAGGUUUCCAGAGGAAGGUUCGUCCGCUCUGGGUAAGUCGGGACCUAAGGCGAGGCCGAAAGGCGUAGUCGAUGGACAACAGGUAGAGAUUCCUGUACCCGUAUAUAUGUGAAGGAAUGACGGAGAGAGGAAGCUGCAGCCAGCGGCUGGAAGAGCUGGUGCAAGCGAGAUAUCGGGAUGGCAGGCAAAUCCACCAUCCGAAACGAGAAGGCGUGAAGCGUACGGAAAGCUACGGCGAGUACGGAAGGCAGUGGAGGAACUUCCAAGAAAAGUUUCUAACGUUAAGUAUAUAUGGCCCGUACCGAAAAUGGACACACAUGGGUGAGGAGAGAAUCCUAAGGUGAGCGAGAGAACUAUAGCUAAGGAACUCUGCAAAAUGACUCCGUAACUUAGGGAGAAGGAGUGCUCAUAGAGAUAUGAGCCGCAGUGAAACGGCCCAAGCGACUGUUUACCAAAAACACAGCUCUCUGCUAAGCCGCAAGGCGAAGUAUAGGGGGUGACGCCUGCCCGGUGCUGGAAGGUUAAGGGGAGGGGUUAACGCAAGUGAAGCCCUGAACUGAAGCCCCAGUAAACGGCGGCCGUAACUAUAACGGUCCUAAGGUAGCGAAAUUCCUUGUCAGGUAAGUUCUGACCCGCACGAA
This 1971-nucleotide ribosomal RNA is filed under the name human gut metagenome. RNAcentral describes it as "bacterial LSU rRNA". It matches the Rfam family "Bacterial large subunit ribosomal RNA", at positions 1 to 1996 of the family's 2925-position model. The record is from RNAcentral.